GCGCCUGUAGCUCAGCUGGAUAGAGCAUCUGCCUUCGAAGCAGAGGGUCGGGGGUUCGAGCCCCUCCAGGCGCGCCA
This 77-nucleotide transfer RNA is filed under the name Acidobacteriota bacterium. RNAcentral's name for it is "Acidobacteria bacterium tRNA-Arg". It matches the Rfam family "tRNA". Rfam says of the family: Transfer RNA (tRNA) molecules are approximately 80 nucleotides in length. Their secondary structure includes four short double-helical elements and three loops (D, anti-codon, and T loops). Lineage: Bacteria; Pseudomonadati; Acidobacteriota. RNAcentral also lists the same sequence under 2 other names. The record is from RNAcentral.